GCCUCCAUGGCGCAACCGGCUAGCGCGUUCGGCUGUUAACCGAAAGGUUCCUAGUUCGAAUCUAGGUGGGGGCG
This 74-nucleotide transfer RNA is filed under the name Rhizophagus irregularis DAOM 181602=DAOM 197198. Its description in RNAcentral is "tRNA-Asn (GTT) (tRNA-Asn-GTT-1-1)". It matches the Rfam family "tRNA". From Rfam's summary of the family: Transfer RNA (tRNA) molecules are approximately 80 nucleotides in length. Their secondary structure includes four short double-helical elements and three loops (D, anti-codon, and T loops). The record is from RNAcentral. Lineage: Eukaryota; Fungi; Glomeromycota; Glomeromycetes; Glomerales; Glomeraceae.